UUUGGGAAAUGAUGCCAAGAUUCAAACACAUUAUCAGAGGCUGCCAGCUCUGCUGAUUAUUUUUUUGCACGUCAGUCUGAUCCCAAG
Molecule: small nucleolar RNA, 87 nt
Organism: Ziziphus jujuba (common jujube)
Lineage: Eukaryota; Viridiplantae; Streptophyta; Magnoliopsida; Rosales; Rhamnaceae
Product: small nucleolar RNA Z122
Exons: 1
Source: RefSeq, a predicted model, not a curated record